AGGUAGUUGGUGGGGUAACGGCCCACCAAGCCUACGAUCCGUACGGGCCAUGAGAGUGGGAGCCCGGAGAUGGACACUGAGACAAGGGUCCAGGCCCUACGGGGCGCAGCAGGCGCGAAACUUCCGCAAUGCGCGAAAGCGUGACGGAGCCAACCAGAGUGCCCUCUCGCUGAGAGGGCUUUUGCGGAGUGUAAAUAGCUCCGCGAAUAAGGUCUGGGCAAGACCGGUGCCAGCCGCCGCGGUAACACCGGCAGCCCAAGUGGUAGCCACUUUUAUUGGGUCUAAAGCGUCCGUAGCCGGUCGAGUAAGUUCCUUGGGAAAUUUGGCUGCUUAACAGUCAAGCUUCCAGGGAAUACUGCUCGACUUGGGACUGGGAGAGGUCAGAGGUACUCCAGGGGUAGGGGUGAAAUCCGUUAAUCCCUGGGGGACCACCGGUAGCGAAGGCGUCUGACCAGACCAGGUCCGACGGUGAGGGACGAAGGCUAGGGUCGCGAACCGGAUUAGAUACCCGGGUAGUCCUAGCAGUAAACGAUGCGGGCUAGGUGUUGGCAUCACUGCGAGUGGUGCCAGUGCCGAAGGGAAGCCGUUAAGCCCGCCAUCUGGGGAGUACGGUCGCAAGGCUGAAACUUAA
This 631-nucleotide ribosomal RNA is filed under the name uncultured crenarchaeote. RNAcentral's name for it is "bacterial SSU rRNA". It matches the Rfam family "Archaeal small subunit ribosomal RNA", at positions 227 to 859 of the family's 1478-position model. The record is from RNAcentral. Lineage: Archaea; Thermoproteati; Thermoproteota.